RNAcentral lists this ribosomal RNA (200 nucleotides) under uncultured bacterium. RNAcentral's name for it is "partial 16S ribosomal RNA". It matches the Rfam family "Bacterial small subunit ribosomal RNA", at positions 8 to 208 of the family's 1533-position model. The record is from RNAcentral.
AGAGUUUGAUCCUGGCUCAGAACGAACGCCAGCGGCGUGGAUUAGGCAUGCAAGUCGAACGUGAUCCGUAGCAAUACGGUGAAAGUGGCGGAAGGGUGAGUAAUGCAUAGAUAACCUACCUCCAAGUCUGGGAUAACUCCGGGAAACUGGAGCUAAUACCGGAUGGGGUCGCGGGGGAGCAUUUUUCUGCGACUAAAGGC